GACGAAGGGGGCUAGCGUUGUUCGGAAUUACUGGGCGUAAAGCGCGUGUAGGCGGUUGCCCAAGUCGGGUGUGAAAGCCUUGAGCUCAACUCAAGAAAUGCACUCGGUACUGGGUGACUAGAGGACCGGAGAGGAUAGUGGAAUUCCCAGUGUAGUGGUGAAAUACGUAGAGAUUGGGAAGAACACCAGUGGCGAAGGCGGCUAUCUGGACGGUUUCUGACGCUAAGACGCGAAAGCGUGGGAGCAAACAGG
This 252-nucleotide ribosomal RNA is filed under the name uncultured bacterium. RNAcentral's name for it is "partial 16S ribosomal RNA". It matches the Rfam family "Bacterial small subunit ribosomal RNA", at positions 524 to 776 of the family's 1533-position model. The record is from RNAcentral.